This is a long non-coding RNA of Betta splendens (Siamese fighting fish), 2005 nucleotides long. RefSeq lists it as uncharacterized. Lineage: Eukaryota; Metazoa; Chordata; Actinopteri; Anabantiformes; Osphronemidae. The record is from RefSeq and is a predicted model, not a curated record. The transcript is spliced from 2 exons.
UUUUAGUUUGUAGUACUUCCUGUUCACAGUCAGUUGCUCACUCACCGGUCCUCAUUAGCCACACCUGUCCGUAAUGAGUAAUCACUCACCAGUAUAUAACCUCCACCUCUCACAGAUUCAAGCUGCCAGAUUGUUACGUUACGAACUUCUUUCCAGCGUUUCGUGUAUAGUCUCUAGUGUAUCGAUCCUGAUUGCCUUGACCGCCGUAUCCUGCCUGAACCUUGUCUGUACCGUAGCCAGAGAAAGAACCUUGACUGAACAACUGACCGUGAGUUUUGCUUAGCCCUUGCCUGUACCUUCACCGAGAUCUCCUGUGUACCGAACCUUGACUGCUUACUGGAUUUGAGAUUGCCUGCUCCCUGCUGUACCUCAUUACCAAGCCUUGUGUAUGAUCUGGACCGUCUGACUCUGCUUUCCACAAUAAAAUCUGUGUUAAUCAUCACCUUGCCUCUAUACUGUGCAUGUUGGUCGGACGCCUGCCCAAACCUGACAGAGAACAGCUUCCAUCUGAAUCUCGUAGUUUGUUCAGACACAAAUGCCCCUUGACUUCUAUGAGUGAGAAGGGACUAGACAACAGCUUGUUGUUUCAGACUUUAUUAGUGCUGGGUAGCGAUCUACAUAAUCGUGCAACUUCAUUGUGUUAACUGCAUGAGUUUUCUAUGAUUAACUGCAGUAAUGCAAGAAGCAUUCAGUAACAUUCAAAAGCAGUACAUCACGCUUUUUUAUUUUAAAACUACUUCUUUCCGGUGAGAGCAGCUGUUGGUAGGGCUGGACAAUACUGCAAACUUUGGAGUCGAUCCGAUACCAAGUAAAUGCUGGACCAGGAUCUCCGAUAUCGAUACCAAUAAUGAUACUUUUUGACAAUGAAUGCAGUAUCAUAUAUAAAAGGGGUAAAAGACAGAACAUAUUUUCAUAGCUGUUUGACAUUUUUUCUAGUCUUUAUACUUUUUGAGACUUUUCAUGUAGCAAGUGAUCUUGUGAUGAGGAAACAAAUCUGUUGGGGGCUCACAGAGAGUGAAAGUGUGAAAAAGCUGGAUGGGGAGAACAUGGUGAAGGUAUGUCGAUCACAUAAACCAAAAAAAAGUAAAAUGUUGGCCUGAAAUUAAGCACAGACCCAGAAUCUGACUCUGUCUGCUCCUUCUCUAUAAACAUGUCUGUGUUUCUUCCUGUGCUUCUCCUUCUCUGACUACAGGAACUGUCUGGGAUUGACAAGCUUUUAUCCAGUGGAGCCAUCAAUGGUAACAAGAAUAUCUCCACCUUUCUGGACAUGAUGGAGAUUGCUCUGAGAGCUGGAGCUGCUGGUACGUUUGGGGCCUGACUUACCUUGAGGACCUGUAACUUUAUCAUCUAAGCGAGUCCAGGCAAACCUCCCGCUGGAGACUGCUGCUGGAGAACCCUUCAAUUAACCUGGUAAUGCUCGUGGCUGUAUAUAACCAGUCAUGGGGAUGUAAUUACAUUAAGUGUGAUGUGAUGAAUGUAAUCGAAUGUUCUCCUGUUAUGACUAUAAAAGGCUUCACAACAGUGGCCUUGCUGAGCUACGCAAACCUAGACUUUGCACACAAAAUUUGUUUGGCCCUGCCUAUGUCAUAUUAACAUUAAGCAGGAAAAUGAUUAGGGUUGCAUAAUAUCUAAAUGCUUAAAAUUUCCAUCAGUGCUUUUUUACCACAUAAUCUUGUUUCCGUUCAGAUAAACAUUUUCUUCAUUUUUAUCACUAUGUGGAAGUUGACACAGAAGUUCUCAGGAUCAAACCAAGAUCUUGAUAAUUUGCAACAAAUAAAGUGAGUCUACAUUAGGCUGCAGCAACUACGAAUGAGUUCAUGAUGUACUGUAGUUUUUCUUUCUUUUUUCAGAUUGAAUUGUGGUUUGUUGCCCCCUCCAGGUGGUGGAAAGCACCACUGCUAUGACUUACCUGUUCACCAUCUUUGCGAGCCUUCAGGGGGUUCUGGUUUUUGUCAUCCACUGUCUGUUUGAUAAGCAGGUCCGUCACUCUCCUCUCAGAAAUUAC